UCAUGGGUUGAGACUUGAGAGUUGAGACGAGAGAGAGAGAGUGUUUGAAAGAAACAAAAAAGAAAGAAAGGAAGAUCAAGAAGAAAUUCCCAAUAGGUCCCAUUCUCCCCCCUCUUCUGGCUUAAGCCACCCUCUCACCAAAAUCCACUAUUCUCUCUCUUUCUCUCUCUUCCCAUUCCCUUUUCUGCUUCGAAGCUACACCGCCUCAAUCCCCAACCCCCUCCCCUCUUCUCCACCCUUCAAUUCUUCUCCUAACAGAAUCUCUCUCUUUUCCUUUCAAAUGCUCCGCCAUCCCUCUCCGCCGCCACCUCCGCCGCUCUAACCCUCCCGUCGUCCUUCCCCGCCGGCAACCGUCGAUCCUCCGCGGCACCUUCCGCGGGAUUUUUCUAGGGUUUUUUCGAAUUGUUUCCCCCGAACCACGCCGUUUUCCUCUUCGAUUCCUUCUCGAUAUUAUUGUGGUGCCGCAUCGACGCCGUCGUCGUCGUCAUGGCUCCCGGGCGUCGACGCGGAGCGAACAAGGCGAAGGCGAACGGACACUUGCGGUUAGGCGAUCUCGUCCUCGCUAAGGUCAAGGGCUUCCCUGCUUGGCCUGCCAAGAUAAGCAGGCCUGAAGAUUGGCAGAAGCCCCCUGAUCCAAAGAAAUAUUUUGUGCAAUUUUUCGGUACUAAAGAAAUAGCUUUUGUUGCCCCUGCAGAUAUUCAGGCUUUUACCAGUGAGUCUAAAAAUAAGUUGUCUGCACGGGGUCAAGGCAAGACUAAGUACUUUACUCAAGCUGUGAAGGAAAUCUGCGCAGCAUUUGAUGAAAUACAGAGACCGAAGCCUAGUGGUUUGACAGAUGAUACUGAUAACUCUAAUAUUGGGUCAGAGGCUCCUUCCGUUGAUGGAGGAGUGGGUAACAUAGCAGACACUAAUGAUGCUGCGGUAUCAAACAGUGAGAAAGAUAGCAAUGCUUGCUCUACUUUUGAGAACUCUGCUCAAUUAAUUGGAGAACAUGAAAGGCAAGAUGAGAAGCUUUCUGUACCUAACCUUGAAAGUUCUUCACCUGUGGUAAAAAAUAAGUUAUCUGUUAGUCCAGUUAUAAAGAAUGCUAACAAAUCUAAUGCUGCAAAGAAUGCUGGUGUUUUUAGACAAGAAGAAGGUGUGCAUAGUCUUUUGACAAAUGGAAGCAAGCCUAGAAAGCUUGGUACCGACUCAAAAAGAAAUGAUGCUGCAGAUGAUCGAAAUCAAAAUGGUGGAUCUUUUGCUGGGUCAUUUUCAAUGAAAGGAGACUCUACUGAGGGUGCUAAUCUUUCCAGAUCUGGAGAGACAUUGAAAAGUGGGAAAAAAAGGAAAAAUUCAUUUUCUGUUAAACCAGAUUCUCUUGAUAUUCUUCAUUCAGACUCAAAGGAUCAUACUGGAACAAAAAAUAAGACCUUAUUAAAAGUUAAAAGAAGCCUGGAUUCUGAGGAGGCUGAUUGCAAAGAUUCUGGGAAGCAAAAGAAGAUCCAAAUACAUGCAAAGAAUACCAAGAAGCUUAAGCGCAUGGAUGCCAAAGAUGAUAGAAGCACUUCUCCUGGUUCUACUGUUGAAGAAAAAGUUUCUAAAAAGCCAGAGUUGAAAAGGUCCAUAUCAAAUUUGAAAACGGAAAAAAGCAUGCCAUCAAGGAGUCACAUUGGUGUAGGUUCUGAUGAUUCUGGCUCUGAGGCACUACCAGGGACCAAAGUUCACAGCCAUGUACGACAAGUUAUCUCUGAUUCUGGUAGCAUUGCUUCUGAUGAGAAGAUAGAGAAGAGUUCUCUUAGACUGAAGGCUGAUGCAAAUAAUGUCAUCGUAAAACCAGGACCGCGGAAACGCAGAGCUGUUCGCCUUUGUGACGAUGACGAUGAGGAUGAACCUAAAACUCCUAUUCAUGGAGGAGCUGUAAAAAGUAUUAAGUCACCAUCUUUUGUUCCGGAGGUCUUGAAGAGUAACAAGGCACAACCAGAGAAAUCUGAUCAUGCUCAGCCAGUUCACAAAAAUUUUAGUGAAGUUGAGCAUAUCCCUUCGAAAGAAGCAUCUUCUCUGUUAAAUAAUGAUAUCUCAUCUUCUAAGCAGCCUGGGAAAGAGAAAGCUGAUGAAAUUAUUCCUGUACAUAAUAGUCCUGAAAAAUUCGAUCCAAAGCAAAUUCCUUCAAAGGUGGCAAAAUUGCGCACUGGGUCUCCAGUAAAAUCACCUCAGUCUGUUCCUGCAGCAAAGUCAACUGCCGAGCAACAUAAAGCUUCCAAACCUUCACUUAAAGUUUCCAGUAGUGCUACUGAAAAGAAGGCUGCUCAUGGAUUUUCAAAGUCUUCUAAUAACAUAAGUACUUCUCAGAAUCAGGCUGCAUCUCAUAAAAAGAAGCUUGGAUCUUCAGUAGAAAUUUCUAAAACUACUCCAAAAAGAUUGCAGCAGGAUGCUGAAGUUCCUGCGGCAACAGGUGGUUUAAAGGAGGCUGAUGCUUUUCAUCGUUUGGAUGUAAGCAUGGAAGAAAAAAGCAGUUUAUAUAUUGGUUCUGGGACUCCAGAAGCUGCUAAAAGUAUGAAGCAUCUGAUUGCGGUUGCUCAGGCGAAAAGAAGACAAGCUCAUUCUCAAAGUUUUCCUCUUAGCAUUCACAAUAUUCAAGAAGGGACUCCUAGCCCAUCCACAGUUCAGCCAUUUCUGCCUGCCUCAGGCCAUGUUACACAGGCAGAUGUGCAGGCAGUUUAUGAGAAUCCAACAUUGGCAUCUCCAUCAACCAAUGAUCAUCUCUCGGCUUCUCAAAAUCAACCCGAUACUGAGGAAAUCGAGGACGUAAGAGUUGGUUCAGUACAGAGGGGUCCAGGGGGCUCGCUUAGUGGAGGCACUGAGGCUGCUGUUGCUCGUGAUGCUUUUGAAGGAAUGAUUGAAACAUUGUCAAGAACAAAGGACAGUAUUGGGCGUGCAACUCGCCUUGCCAUUGACUGUGCUAAGUAUGGCAUUGCUAAUGAGGUUGUUGAACUUCUCAUCAGAAAGCUGGAAAGUGAAACUAGUUUUCACCGCAAGGUGGAUUUGUUCUUUCUUGUGGACUCCAUCACCCAGUGCUCGCAUAAUCAGAAAGGCAUUGCUGGAGCCUCCUACAUCCCUAUAGUUCAAGCAGCAUUGCCACGCCUUCUUGGUGCUGCUGCUCCCCCUGGGGCUAAUGCGCGUGAGAAUCGUCGUCAGUGUCUGAAGGUUCUAAGGCUGUGGCUUGAGAGGAAAAUUUUGCCUGAAUCAGUUCUUCGCCGUCACAUGGAUGAGAUUGGAGUUUCAAAUGAUGAUAUAACAGUUAGCCUUUCCCUCAGGCGCCCAUCUAGAGCUGAGCGGUCAGUGGAUGACCCAAUCAGAGAAAUGGAAGGCAUGCUUGUUGAUGAAUAUGGCAGUAAUGCUACAUUUCAGCUGCCUGGCUUUUUAUCUUGCCAACCAUUUGAUGACGAUGAGGAAGAUGAUGAUUUACCGGUUAAUUCAAGUAAGGAUACAUAUGAUGCAUCUCCAGCACAUCUAACGCCUACCCUUGGGGAAUCGGAAACUUCUACUGUUACCCCAAAUGACAAGCGCCAUUGUAUCUUGGAGGAUGUGGAUGGCGAACUAGAAAUGGAAGAUGUUUCAGGCCACCUGAAGGACGAAAGGACUGAAUUUCAUAAUAGUUCUGAUGAAGUAGAUUUGCAACCCCAAGGAUCAGAUAGGAACUUGGAUCUUACUUCAAACAUUUCAGCAGAGAUACCCACUUCUGUGGAGGGUUCUCCUCCAUUACCACCUGGUUCACCUCCUCCACCCCCACCUUUGCCUUCUUCACCUCCACCACCACCUCCUCCAUCAUCUCCAUCUCCACCCCCACCUCCACCACCUCCAAUGUUGCAACCCCCACCUCCUCCUUUACCACCCUCGUGCCCAACACUGCCAUUGGUUCCACAAUCAUCUGGAGUUGCUCGCCCUUCGCACCUCUCCCAGUCAAUAAGGCCACCUCAGCCAUCACAUCAGUCGUCUCCGCAGUUAGGUUAUCAUCAGAAUGUGCCUCAUAACUAUAGUGCCACAACAAGUGGUAAUCAGUUUGUUCAAAUGGCUGGGAAUGCCUUUCCGGGAGGUCACGGUAAUGCAGUUGCGAAGAAUGAAAUAUUCCCACAAGCAGCUGCUUUUGCACCAACAGCAACCUGCAGCACCCAGGAACCACCUUCUGGUUUUAACCCUUCAAGGCAAUUAGAAUAUGGACAAAAUGAUAUGUAUGCAAAUGUGCAAGUUCCCCAAGCCAACCAUCAAUUUCAACAGAGUAAUCUACCGUUUGCUCAAAGACCGGGACAUCCUGCCCCACCCCAAAGUUCGUCAAGUCAGUACUCUUUUCCAAACCCUACAGGUCAGCAGCAUCCUCCACAUUCAUUCCAUCCACCUUUCCCUUUGCCAUCCAUUCCAGAUGGCCGGAGGCAAUUUGUUGCUGAUGACCAAUGGAGAAUGUCGUCAAGUGAAUUUAAAACGAACAAUCAACAUGGUGUUUGGAGAGGGCAAAAUCCUUCAUGCUCUGGUCCACCGUUUGGGCAAGAAGGUCAUUUCCGGCCACCAGUUGAAAGACCACCAGUAAGCAACAUAGGCUUCCAGCAUGCAAUGCCAAAUAACAUACCUGCUGCUCCACCAACAUCAGGACAUGGUAUUCCCCAGAUGUUGCCUUGUAGGCCUGACAUGCCUGCUCUGAAUUGUUGGAGACCGACUUGAAAUUUUACUGGAGUAUUCUUAACAAUAUCAUUGGUCUUGCUGGUGGAUCACAUUCAAGGUUGCAUAUUGUGCCUCCAAAGUUAGGUUCACCUCAAGAAAUUUUUGAAAACUUGUGGAGGCUUUUUGGCAGGGUUGUGUAUAUUGUAAUUUUCCUGACAAUGUAUCCCAGAAAGAUUUGCUUCCAUUUUAGGCCCAUAUUCUGACUUGGUAUUGGCAAAACAAAGAUGGUUAUUGCUAUGUCAUGUUUUGAAUGUGGUCACUGAACAAAAAAUAAGGUCAACUUCAUUGCUUGCAAUGACUCCUUCUCAUUGAGGUAAAUAUUUGUCAUGGAAUUUCGUAGCAGACAACACGUUAGUUUAUUAGUUAUGUAUUUUUAGUUGUUUACUGACUUCCUUAAGUUCCUUUCUAGCAGUAGCAUCUAUAGUUGUAAAGACGGUUCUCAUGAUGUUUUGAGAAUCUCUAGUAAAACAUCUCGAGCUAACAUAGUAUUGUACAUUAAAAUGUCUAGGUUUCUUUUAUAGAUACUGUUUAAUGCAUACAUUUCGCCAGGCAGAAGAGCAUAGUUUCUUUAAUUCUUGCAUAAGUGGAAAUAGGAAAGUUUUGUUAGGAGCUGCAUAGAUGUUUGGUCUUUGGCUGAUUCUACCUUUUGCCAAUUCACUGUAUUCAAAAAUGAUCUUUACAAGGACUGAAACUAAUUACUUUGUCGUCACAAGUCUAUUUCUGACAUGUUGAACUUGCUCACUGGGAUGUAGUGUAUUGAGUUAUCUACAUAAGUAAAUAUGUCCUGUCUGUAAAAGUGAUAAACUUUUCUACAUCUUCAUAUUGUGAAAUCAUGUGAUCCCAUCCUGAUUGACAUCAAUUUAGUUACCGUAUAUAGCAGCAUUUACUGGUGAAUUUCUGCUGGAUUGCAUCCAGUCAGCAUUGUUUUCCCCCAAACCUAAUUUCUGAUACUAGAUCAAGAUACCUGAAUGCAUUAUUGGAUUCCAUUUAAGCUACCCUAAUGCUUAUUAAAAUAAGCAGACUCUUGUCUAGAGAUUAUGCAUAGUAUCAGUGUUGCAGACAUCUAAAUUGAAUGCGGCUUUGUAGCUGGUCAUAGUUGUUAUCAUGACUAAUUAUAACUUGUGAUCGUGACCGAGUGUAUUCAUUUUUUUAUCUCUUAUUUUACUAUCACUGGUUCAUGGG
Molecule: RNA transcript, 5877 nt
Organism: Arachis stenosperma
Lineage: Eukaryota; Viridiplantae; Streptophyta; Magnoliopsida; Fabales; Fabaceae
Gene name: ENHANCER OF AG-4 protein 2
Exons: 13
Source: RefSeq, a predicted model, not a curated record